GUGUGGUGUGUGGGGAGCGGUAGUGUAGUGCUUAGCGUGCUGUCUGUGUGUGUGUGUCUGUCUGUGUCUGUCUGUGUGUGUCUGCGUGUGUCUGUGUUUGUGUCUGUGUGUGUGUCUGUGCGUGUGUGGUGUGUGAGGAGCGGUGGGUGUAGUGCUUAACGCUACGCUGCGCUACCAACCCGGCGAACCGAGUUCGAUUCCCGCUCACGGCCACCACCGGUGACGAUUAUUUGAACCUCCCCUAGGUCGACUCAGCCUCAAACGAGUAACUGGUGUGGCGUAUUAACAUCGGCACUGGGGAGACAAAGGCGGCCGGGCGUGGUGGAUCCAAGUCCCGGGCGAAGCCGGGUCAUGUAACCAAAGGGCGGCGGGUGCAAGGCUACCGGUUCAAGUGAGGGACCGCUGCCCCGACACGGAUCAAUUUCGACUGACCGACCGCACGAAUCGCUUGUGCAGGUGGCCCAUGGGCCCCCCCGCGGGCCAACGACGCGGCGGCCCCCGCAAGGAGGCCUCCGACUGGCCCACGUCGGCCACCCUCGGGGCCGCGCUGGCCCUCCUCUUCGUUGCCGUCAGCGUCCACCUUGUCCGCAUGGGCUCCACCCCGACCCCGCGCUCGCUCCGUGACGAAGGCGGCGGCGAUGGCCACCCCCGGGCGCCCCCCCUCCUCCUCCUCUCGCGGCGCUGGCUGAUGCUGCGAGCGGAGUUCCCCACGCAGCCCCGCGCCGAGAUGGCGCGUCUGCAGCGAGCCGUCACCCGCCGCCGCGACGAACGGCGUUGACGGCGGCCCGCCGACGGGCGUCAUUCUCGCGGCUAACCCCGGCUCGGCGAGGACCCUCGGCUGCUUCUGCCGGGCCCUGCGGCGGCUCGUGGAGGCCUCCGGCACCCCGGCGCUGCUCCGCGCCGAGGGGACUCCCUCGCCGCCAGAGCCGCGACUCGUGACGCAGCUGCUGGCGCUGAUGUCCGCGGCCAGCGGCGGCGGCGGUGGCGCGGACCGGGCACGGCUCGCCCGCGUCUGGGAGGCUCUGGGGCCGGGCGGCCGCGGCGCGCUGCUCAUCGUGGGCUUCACGGCGGCCACGGCGGAGACGGGGAACUCGGGGAACGAGACGCGGGACGCCGAAAUCCCCUCCUCCUCCUCCUACCCCCUGCUGGAGAUGUUCACCCUGAGGGCAGAGGCGUACAUCGAAGAGGGCGGCUUCGUCUGCUGAAGUUGCCACCACUACCACCACCGCCCCUUCCGAUUGUGGGGGGGGGGGGGGGGUCGAUUCAUAAUGACCGACGGUUCGGGAGCGGGGCCACCCGGACAGUGGUGGAGUGGCGACACAGCUGCCCCCGGCUGUUGGGACCACUCCGAGUUCAGGGGCGAUGGGACAUCGGUUUCCUGGGUCCCAGGAUGAGAGUUCACUGUUGAUUUGUGUUUGUUUGUUUGUUGUUGUUAUUGUUGUUAUUAUUGUUGUUGUUAUUAUUGUUGUUAUUGUUGUUGUUGUUAAACACAGAGGCGUCACUGUGGACUGAGGACAGUGGCAACACGUCCAGUGGCCAGUAGCAGAGCAGCACUCGUGUGGACGUUGUCGCGUGUGGGAGCUGUCACGUGUGGGGAAGAGACGACGGUGGUGGUGGUGACAAUGGUGAUGAUGGUGGUGGUGGUGAUGGUGGUGAUGAUGAUGGUGGUGGUGACGAUGGUGGUGAUGGUGGUGGUGAUGAUGAUGGUGGUGGUGAUGGUGGUGAUGAUGAUGGUGGUGGUGACGAUGAUGAUGGUGGUGACGGUGGUGUUGGUGAUGCUGGUGAUGAUGGUGGUGACGAUGGUGGUGAUGAUGAUGGUGACGAUGGUGGUGGUGGUGGUGAUGGUGGUGGUGGUGAUGAUGAUGAUGACAGGAGGAGGGAAUUCCACUGUGGAGCGACGGUGCAAGGGAAGCAGCAGAGAGAGAGAGAGAAGUGAGGUUGACCUGCAGUGUGAGCGAGUGACUAUAUGAGUGAGUGAGUGGGUGAGCGGGUGAGUGGGUAAGUGGGUGAGUGGGUCACUAGGUGAGUGGGUGACUGGGUGAGCGGGUGAGCGAGUUUACGAGUGACUGGGUGAGUGGGUCACUAGGUGAGUGGGUGACUGGGUGAGCGAGUUUGCGAGUGACUGGGUGAGUGGGUCACUAGGUGAGUGGGUGACUGGGUGAGCGAGUUUGCGAGUGACUGGGUGAGUGGGUCACUAGGUGAGUGGGUGACUGGGUGGGCGAGUUUGCGAGUAACUGGGUGAGCAGGUGAGUGGGUGAGUGGGUCACUAGGUGAGUGGGUGACUGGGUGAGCGGAUGACUGGGUGGGCGAGUUUGCGAGUGACUGGGUGAGUGGGUCACUAGGUGAGUGGGUGACUGGGUGAGCGAGUUUGCGAGUGACUGGGUGAGCGGGUGAGUGGGUAAGUGGGUAACUUGGUGAGUGGGUGAGUGGGUGAGGGAGUUUGCGAGUGACUGGUUGAGCGGGUCACUAGGUGAGUGGGUGAGCGGGUGAGCGGGUGGGCGAAUUUGCGAGUGACUGGGUGAGCGGGUCACUAGGUGAGUGGGUGAGUGGGUGAGCGAGUUUGCGAGUGACUGGGUGAGUGGGUCACUAGGUGAGUGGGUGACUGGGUGAGCGAGUUUGCGAGUGACUGGGUGAGUGGGUCACUAGGUGAGUGGGUGACUGGGUGGGCGAGUUUGCGAGUAACUGGGUGAGCAGGUGAGUGGGUGAGUGGGUCACUAGGUGAGUGGGUGACUGGGUGAGCGGGUGACUGGGUGGGCGAGUUUGCGAGUGACUGGGUGAGUGGGUCACUAGGUGAGUGGGUGACUGGGUGAGCGAGUUUGCGAGUGACUGGGUGAGCGGGUGAGUGGGUAAGUGGGUGACUUGGUGAGUGGGUGAGUGGGUGAGCGAGUUUGCGAGUGACUGGUUGAGCGGGUCACUAGGUGAGUGGGUGAGCGGGUGAGCGGGUGGGCGAAUUUGCGAGUGACUGGGUGAGCGGGUCACUAGGUGAGUGGGUGAGUGGGUGAGCGAGUUUGCGAGUGACUGGGUGAGUGGGUCACUAGGUGAGUGGGUGACUGGGUGAGCGAGUUUGCGAGUGACUGGGUGAGUGGGUCACUAGGUGAGUGGGUGACUGGGUGGGCGAGUUUGCAAGUAACUGGGUGAGCAGGUGAGUGGGUGAGUGGGUCACUAGGUGAGUGGGUGACUGGGUGAGCGGGUGACUGGGUGGGCGAGUUUGCGAGUGACUGGGUGAGUGGGUCACUAGGUGAGUGGGUGACUGGGUGAGCGAGUUUGCGAGUGACUGGGUGAGCGGGUGAGUGGGUGAGUGGGUGACUUGGUGAGUGGGUGAGUGGGUGAGCGGGUGAGUGCGUGAACGAGUUUGCGAGUGACUGGGUGAGCGGGUCACUAGGUGAGUGGGUGACUGGGUGAGCGGGUGAACGAGUUUGCGAGUGGCUGGCUUGAACCGGUCAAUACCGGAUCAGCCGUCACCUCAGGGGACUCACUCGGCAGGUUUUUGUCUGGUCGCCGUCUCUCGUCGCUUCGAGACUAUUUUAUUAUUGUUGUUGUUGUUGUUAUUGCUGCUGCUGUUGUUGUUGUUGUUUACCAAAGUCAAAGCGCCGCGAGCUCGUUUUUUUUUAGAGGGGUGAGCUGGCCGCGCGAGAUGAGCAUGGGUGGAAAAAACCCGAUUUUUCCAGCGGCAGGCAUCGGGUUUUUUCUUUAAUACAAUUAAACCCGAUUUGGGGGAGUUAAAACGUGGUUUCAUGAAUACGAAACUCUGAUCCAAGGCUUCGGCUGCUUCCUCGUGGGUGCUGCUAUCGUACACGGGGGGGGGGGGGGGGGGCGUCGGGCACGGGGUAGUCGUAGAAUGCGGCGGGCAGGUUGGUCUUGAUGAACACGAGGAGCUUCUCUUCCACACUCGUGGGCGCCGCCAGUGAGUUCCUGAGCUUGGAAUGGACGAAGCCCAUCGUAGAGAAGUUGGCGAAGUACGGUUCUGCAAUUAGAACCAUUGACACCGGAUUUCUCCCAAUCUCAGAUGAUCGGGUUUAAUAUAAAAAUACAAUUAAACCCGAUUGUAAAAAACACGACUGUGCCACCCUUGGUGAUGAGAGCUCAAAGUUGGCUGAUGUCAUCGUCACCGCUAUCAUCAUCAUCAUCACGUGGUGGGGAUUCAUCGUCACCGCCAUCAUCAUCAUCAUCACGUGAUGGGGAUUCAUCGUCACCGCCAUCAUCAUCACCAUCAUCACGUGGUGGGGAUUCAUCGUCACCGCCAUCAUCAUCAUCAUCACGUGGUGGGGAUUCAUCGUCACCGCCAUCAUCAUCACCAUCAUCACGUGGUGGAGAUUCAUCGUCACCGCCAUCAUCAUCACCAUCAUCACGUGGUGGAGAUUCAUCGUCACCGCCAUCAUCAUCAUCACGUGGUCAUCUGAACGGCGCGUCGAGUGAUUCUCACUGUGGCGGGAGAGGCGAAAACCGCAGCAAGGGGGAUGGGGGAUAGGGGGUUGGAGUCGUCAUUGAAUUGACCAUUUGCCUCAGCAAGUAUCUUCAAUGUCUCAGCAGCUGCUGCUGCUGCCCCUUCGAUGUCCGGCCUCGAGUGGGCAGAGCAGUCAUUGCGCCUCUGGGAAAUCUGAAUAGGCCGUAGUGUCCCCUUUUGGGGGGCAAUAACAAAAACAAGAGGAGUUGCGUUUGAGGUGUUCAAACAAACUCACAAUGGACCGCCUUUAAUAGCAAAGGCAAUCGCCAUCAAGGCCGCAUUGACACACAUUUCCUGUGGCAACAACAACAACAACAAACCACGUGGUUAUGAUAAUACAGGGUGCUUCAAAACAAAGUGUUGACACUUAUGUGGAAAAAUUAAGGGAAAAUAAUAAUAAUAACACUGUAACGCGACGACAAACUUUAAUGUUAAUAAGCUUCAAAAAUUUCGAUGUAAAGCUUUCGUGACUGCAGGGAUUCAUCUUCUUGGUUCUUUCGGUAAAGUCACGUAGAAUGGAAAUAAUAAAAUAAUAAAAAUAAAACAUAAUAAAAUACAAUUCUCACGACGUUUCGGCCACAACGCAAGCAGCCGUCCUCAGGUGAAGAACAGGUCUGUCGAGAAGUGACUUUACCGUACCCUACCCGUACCCGGCCGGGUAUCGGGUACCCGAUUGC
Long non-coding RNA from Lethenteron reissneri (Far Eastern brook lamprey), 5121 nucleotides. RefSeq lists it as uncharacterized. The record is from RefSeq and is a predicted model, not a curated record. NCBI's taxonomy places the organism in Eukaryota, Metazoa, Chordata, Hyperoartia, Petromyzontiformes, Petromyzontidae.